GAUGAACGCUGGCGGCGUGCUUAACACAUGCAAGUCGAACGAAGCACUUUUACAGAUUUCUUCGGAUUGAAAUUUUAGUGACUGAGUGGCGGACGGGUGAGUAACGCGUGGGUAACCUGCCUCACACAGGGGGAUAACAGUUGGAAACGGCUGCUAAUACCGCAUAAGCGCACAGUACCGCAUGGUACGGUGUGGAAAACUCCGGUGGUGUGAGAUGGACCCGCGUCUGAUUAGCUAGUUGGCAGGGCAACGGCCUACCAAGGCGACGAUCAGUAGCCGACCUGAGAGGGUGACCGGCCACAUUGGGACUGAGACACGGCCCAAACUCCUACGGGAGGCAGCAGUGGGAAUAUUGCACAAUGGGGGAAACCCUGAUGCAGCGACGCCGCGUGAGCGAAGAAGUAUCUCGGUAUGUAAAGCUCUAUCAGCAGGGAAGAAAAUGACGGUACCUGACUAAGAAGCACCGGCUAAAUACGUGCCAGCCGCCGCGGUAA
RNAcentral lists this ribosomal RNA (494 nucleotides) under uncultured bacterium. Its description in RNAcentral is "partial 16S ribosomal RNA". It matches the Rfam family "Bacterial small subunit ribosomal RNA", at positions 28 to 523 of the family's 1533-position model. The record is from RNAcentral.